AGCUGCUUCAUGUUUGCUAAUGAAAACCCAUCUGAUUGAACUGGACCCCUUGUUAUUGAACUGGACCCCUUGCUUGGUGUCCGCUGAAACAUUAUUGUAGUAUGAGGCAUUGAUGAGCAUGACCAAUGAUGUCUGUGUUCAAUAAUACAUUUGGUCUGUAUUUAUUGAUUAUUUUGGAAUUAGGGUGUAAGGCUUAUCGUUUUUUAAAAAUCAUUCAGCAUACAUGUAACCGCAAUAGACAUCAUCUUGAGCACUCUUUGAUAAGAAAACAAUGUUUAAUGUCAGGUUCACAUGCUUACCCUAACACUUUUCCUACAGUUAUUCAAAUACACCAUGUAACAUGAACUAGUGCCAGUACCGUGCAGUCACAUAUUCUAUAUGACAUGAUAAUUACCUCCAUGAUAAUGAGUAAUGAUGUAAUUGAUGCUUCAACCAUAAUAGCUAAUCAUUUUCACUGUGAACAUUCAACGCCAUAUGUAUUUGGACAGUGAAGUCAAAAUGUUAAAUUUAGCUGUAUACUCCAGCAUUUUGUAUGGCUUACGGCCAUUCAAAAUGACAAUCGGAAUUGUAUAUUACUGACUGUGGGUUAUACUAAAGUAGUGGAAUAUUACCAUAUACUGUAAAGCAAGACAAGAAUACAUUGUCAUUUCAGGUGAUAUACAUGAAAAAGACAGUAGUCACCUUGGUGACAGAUAUCUUAGUGUUAUGUACAGUUUUACCAAGUAUAACUUGUCAUUUUAAUUUUCAAUACAUCUUUGGAACAGGAAGGAUAUUGUUGUUUAUAAAUGUAGCAGACUCAUUCUAUAUCAUGUUAGUAGUGUCAGGAAUCAAGGUAAGACCCAGAUGCAGACUGUUGAAGUAACACUGUUUAUUGUAGAAAACAGGGGCAGGCAAAGACAGGUUAAGGCAGGCAGGGGUCGAUAAUCCAGAGUAUGUCAAAGUUACAGGACAGGCAGAGAAGUCAGGUGGGCAGGUACAGGGUCAGGAUAGGCAACCAGGAGUUGACAGGAAAACCGCUGGUAAGCUUGACAAACAAGAUGAACCGGCAACAAACAGAACACAGGUAUAAAUACACAGGGGAUAAUUGGGAAGAUGGGCGACAUCUGGAGGGGAGUGGAGACAAUCACAAGGACAGGUGAAACAGAUCAGGACGUGAAAAGUCGUUUGGAGUCAGUAUCUAAAAUUUCUGUGUAUCUAAAAUCCCUAUUUCAUUUAUGCUCAUUCACAGUGUGGUUUGCUUUUAGACCAGUGUGAUAUUAUUUCACUUCAGCUGCAGUUAAUUUCCCAUAAUAAAUUUAGACGUUUAAAACCUAACUGGGUUGUUCCACGAAAUGUGUGUCUUUUACGUCCCUUUGAUAUUUUAAGUAGAAAUGGUGUGCAAAUAAUGGAUUUUAAAAGCCUGUUAUUUAAAAUGAAGUGCCCUUUAACCUAUUUAAUCGGUGACCGUAAAAAAAACAUUUUCAGUUAAGGCUCUAAAAAUGUUACUGAAUGAUCUAUCAGUGCAUUUCCAGCAAAUAUUGAAAUAAUAAAGGGUCUCGAUGAAUGACGUGCAGUGUCACAUGUUUAGUGUAAAUUGUCACAUGACCAGAGCUGUUUACUUCCUGGUUGCGCCAUGAGAAGAGAAUGGCUGCAUCAAAGUUCCCAAACAAAAGUUUCACUUUGAGUCAAGUUCUGGAUAUGUUGGAUCGAGGUGACAGCCCAGACAAGGUGUGCAACAUUGCAGUUGUCCCUCAAAAUGAGAAAGAUACUGUCCUGAGUGAUUGUGAUAGCGAUGGGUCAGAUAUGAACUAUGGACAGGACAUUUGCCGACCAGGCUGUUGAAUGCAAAUGCGGAGCCUAUGCAAACAGAUCAUGACAGGAACAACGUUAUCAGUGAUGAUGACCUACUACCCCCCCCAUCCACAAUCUUCCCCACCCCCCUCCAUGGUAAUGAAGAGCCAAGGGCCUCUACCCGCCAGAGGGUCCAGUCAGAAGAGCCAAGGGCUUCUACAAACCAUAAAGUUCAGCCUGAAGAGCCAAGAGAAAAGCUGCAGGUGGUCAAAAAGAAAGAUUGAGCGUUCUAACGAUCGAAGAGACCUGCCACUGAUGUGAUUCCAAAACACAUAGUAUACAGGCCAAAUAUGCAAAAAUUUGGCACGAAACCACUGAGCCACGGAAGGAGAUCUUUACUGGCUGCUACUGUUGAAGAUCAGGCAAGAUAUGACAAAGCUUCUCACUGGCCAAUCAACACGAUGCACUGGUUCCAGAGAAGUCAUCACUGUGACAAACGUACUACCUGUGCAUGUGAGAAAUGCAAAGUGCCACUGCACAUUGAGUGCUUCAAGAUAUACCAUGGACAGUAGAAAAGGAGAUAAGACCGAAUAGAAAAGUCGAUAAAGGGUGAGGAGAAGCAGUACAACGGACUCUAGGAAGAAAAGCACUCUGUCUCGUAUAAGCACUCAUUGGCCAGUGGCGCUUUUUAAAUAUAUAUAUAUAUAUAUAUAUAUAUAUAUAUAUAAAAUUGUAUUUUGUUCAGUGUAGGCCUCUACUUGAAUGCAUAUUAUACAGGCUACCUCUAUCCUAUAUGUUACCUUUAUGUUCAGAGGGAAUGAAUCACAUGACUGCUAUACAGUUGUUAGUGAAUGUUGCACUAAAAUGUCACAAUGACAAUGUUACAAUGAAUAUUGCACUAAAGUACAAGUUCAACUGUUACAAUAAAGUUACAAUAUUAAUGUUUCAGUACAUGUGGCACUAAAGUAACAAUGUUGAAAUA
Oncorhynchus tshawytscha (Chinook salmon) is the source of this 2752-nucleotide long non-coding RNA. RefSeq lists it as uncharacterized. The record is from RefSeq and is a predicted model, not a curated record. The transcript is spliced from 2 exons. Lineage: Eukaryota; Metazoa; Chordata; Actinopteri; Salmoniformes; Salmonidae.